CCAUCAUCUUUGAAUCCUUUAAAACUUACCAGGCACUCUCUAUGUGGGAAGAUGGUGCCCAAACACAUCUGCAUGUCAUAUUGCCUGGUUGGCUGUAGCAGGACUGGGAUGACGUAGGCUGGGGCCAGUGAGAUUGGGCCCAGAUAAUAGGCCAGCAAAUGGACUUUCUCCUUUAAGAGGAAUGAUUAGAGUCUGGCCUGGCUUCACUGCUCCACAUCCUCCUAUCAGCUUUCACUGAGGUUUUGCUGAGUCAUUGGGUGAGAUGUGGCCUCUUCUAAGCUGCACAGGCACAUUCUGAGUCCCUUUGUUCUGCUAGGGGUCCCUCUGUGAGCAAAGCCUGGGAAGCCAGGUGCCUCCCUCUGCAAAAGGGGAAAGUUUGUGCAGACAGGGAGGGCAGGGCCUCCUGUGUGGAGGAGAGGAGGGGAGCCUGGCAGAAAGAGCAGAGGAACUGGAGGGAGAGCCAGGCUGCAUUCCAGCCCUCCCGCUUACUGGCUGUGUGAGCAUGAGGAAGGUGCUUCCCCUGUGUGUGCCUCAGUUUCCCUUGUGAUGCACGGGCCUGAAGAAGAUCUCUGCCUAGAUGAAGUCCAGCUGCUUCCUCCGAAAGACCCGUGUUUCUAUAUGUGGCCUUGUGGGGCAACAAGUAGGGAUUUUAAGGCCAGAAAAUCAGAGCAAAGGGUCAGAGGGGCAACCGAUGUCCGUGGCCCUGGAGAACAGCUGGACCUCCGUGCACCCAGAACCAGCUGUCUUGCUUCUUUCUCCUUUUUUUCACUUUCUUCUCCUGCCUCAGAUGCCUUAUUGGCCCCCUUUUCUCACUCCCUACCCGCUUUUCACUAGGAUGUUUAAAUCUUCAGCUCCCUACUUCUCUUCACUGAAGUCUGUCCCCGCUCCCACCCAUCCCCAUUAUUCUCCCUGCACUGAAGCCACCCAGUCCAUCCUUCCCUUCAGUGGUUGCUCUGUUGAGGAGCCCGACCACCCCCCUGGCCUGGAGAGCUGAGCCCUGAGCCCCCAGCACUGCCCUGAAGAGCCGUAUCGGCCUGGUGUGCAGUGCCUGCUCCCCCACUGUGGCCCUGCCCUGCCUGAUCCUCAGUAAAGCCUUAAUGACACCUGCUGUGUCUUGUCUUCUUCCUUCUGGCCACGUGGACUCACGAUUGACCGUGUUGGGGGUGUGGGUGUGUCCAUUUUUCCUUCUGUUGUCCAUUGCAGGGGCUGGGUGAAUGGGGAUGGGUGCGUAUGUGUGUGGUGGGGGGAACAGG
This 1253-nucleotide long non-coding RNA is filed under the name Equus asinus (donkey). RNAcentral's name for it is "lncRNA (ENSEASG00005030626.1)". Lineage: Eukaryota; Metazoa; Chordata; Mammalia; Perissodactyla; Equidae. The record is from RNAcentral.